Molecule: long non-coding RNA, 447 nt
Filed under: Cricetulus griseus (Chinese hamster)
Lineage: Eukaryota; Metazoa; Chordata; Mammalia; Rodentia; Cricetidae
Description: lncRNA (ENSCGRG00015038236.1)
Source: RNAcentral
UAGAAACUGAUAAAGCAGAGCAUGUGUGGGCGGAAAGUGUUUAUGCACUUAUGCAGUACGAUGAUGCAGUACUACAUACAGAGGAUUCGGAUAGCUCCAGAGAACGAGCAGAAGUUACACCAGGCCCCUGGAAUCCUUUGUCUGCAUUUAUUGCAGCAGGCUUAUGUGGGCACUGUAGAUCAGAACACAGGUUCCCAUGAAUGAAAAACAUUUUACUGACUCAUCCAUCUCUUCAAUCCUUAAACACACAAGUCUUCUAAGAGCCCAGUUAGGAAUGUGUUGACUUGCAGCACAACUAAAUUUAUUUCAGUGAAUAUAUAGCUGAAUGAAUUAAAAUGUCUAAGUAAAAGAAGUCAAAUUUGCAUGCGAAGUCAGGCAUGGUGGCACAUAUCUGUAAUUUAGAAGGCCGAGGCAGGUUGAUGACCAUGAACCUUGGCUACAAAAUUC